UUGGAAAACAAUCUUGCUAGUUUCCAUGUUAUCAUUCAGGAAUGUAAAGGCUCAUUAUUUUUUGCAAGGAUUUUAUCUCCAAGAAUACAAGGGGAGAUAGGAUGGAAGAGACUGACCCAAGAAGAGGCCCCAGGAGGCCACAGGAAUGCCAAACUAUUAGGUACCAGGUCAACAUAACCCAGCAAAGAACUGAGGAAAGCUGUAAGAGUGAGAGAGGCGUCUGCUACCAGAGUUCAGACUGAGCAUGUGCAGGACCAUGCCAAUGUAUGCCAGUGAUAGUAAAAUGUUGGUAAAUAGCUUGAGUCAUCUUUAUGGAUGUAAGGAGGGGAUAUGGUACCUUUGAGCUUCAUGGGAUGGAACGGGAUGGAAGAAAGAAGAGAUGUGCCUUUGGAAAGGAAGAAAGUUAGCUUUGCCAUGUGCUACAGCCUUCUCCCCACAGCUGCUAACCAGAGACAAGGUUCAUGGGAGCUGUAGCUGAAAAAUUCCUUACUCUGUAGCCAACUUUCUGGAGAUGAGCCUCUACAAUCAGUGGGACAUAGUUCUCAAAUGACAGGCAUGAAGCCGCUUACUGGAGCCAUACUGGCAAAUCUUGUCAUCACAUAGCAGAGCUCACUAACUCAAAGUUUAGCUUUCCAAAGCCCAGAGUCAUUUAAACACCAAGAUGAAGCAUCCAAGGAGGACUCAAGUGAAAGAAGAUCCUAAAGAAAUACAAAUUAUUGAUGAGUACUGUAGCACUGAUUGGGGGUUCCACAUUUCAAAUCUGAAUUGUCUCUGAUCACAUGUUUCCUAUGACCCAAAUUGCCCUAUUCCUAUCUGGAACAGUUCUGAAGAAGGUCACAGAAGAAGAGGAUUUAAAGCUCUCUUUAAACAUCUCAGAGACCAUGUAGCCCAACCUGCUUAGCUUACAGUCAGAUAAGAACUUUGAAACUCAUUAAAAGAAAAUGACUUGACCAGAGUCACACAGUUAGGACUCAUGACUCCAAAACCAAUAAGCUUAACCAUAUACAAAGUACUCAGAGAAAAGGUUAUUGUAUUGAAAGCAUGAAUAUUACAUAUAGCUUAUCU
This 1065-nucleotide long non-coding RNA is filed under the name Monodelphis domestica (gray short-tailed opossum). Its description in RNAcentral is "lncRNA (ENSMODG00000049616.1)". The record is from RNAcentral. Lineage: Eukaryota; Metazoa; Chordata; Mammalia; Didelphimorphia; Didelphidae.